AUCAACUGUCACCCAGGGGGGGUAACUGAACUCCAAAGGUUAUGGAGAUAGACCACCAAAGGUAUAGAUGAUGUUGUUGCAGAGAAAAAGUGGCAACCAAAAAAGCUAAGGAAGAAGAUGGACAUGUGGAGAUCUAGGGGGAGAAGAUGAUUCCUAAACUACAUUCCUAUUUGUCACGGGGGAAGAUUGUAUCAGUAAAAGUAGAAUCUUGGAUUUGAGUUUGGUAUGUGUAUGUGUAUGUGAAUUAGAGUACAGUCUGCCAACAGAUCUGAUAAGUGGAACUUGACAAUGGCUACAGUAAAAACACAGGAGGACACAAAGAUUUAAAGACAGAAACUGGAAAAAAAAAUCAUCCUUCAACCAAAUCCAUUAUGGCAGUUAUUAUGAUUUCAAGAAAGAAAGAAGUCAUAAUAGUAUCAAGGUACAAUAUCAAGCCUGAAGAUUCAGGAGUGGAGACCACACGUGGACUUCGGGGGAAUCAUUAAUGAUGCUCCCUUACCUCUAUAGAGUGCAAACAGCUUUACAUACGUUUGUCAAUCUCCAUAAUAACCCUGGCCUAUAGUGAAAGGUAUUUUUAUUCAUUUUACGAAUGAAUAAACCAAACUCAUAGUACUGAAGUAGUUGCUGA
Molecule: long non-coding RNA, 628 nt
Filed under: Phascolarctos cinereus (koala)
Lineage: Eukaryota; Metazoa; Chordata; Mammalia; Diprotodontia; Phascolarctidae
Description: lncRNA (ENSPCIG00000027219.2)
Source: RNAcentral